RNAcentral lists this unclassified non-coding RNA (355 nucleotides) under uncultured fungus. RNAcentral's name for it is "partial contains small subunit ribosomal RNA, internal transcribed spacer 1, and 5.8S ribosomal RNA". The stretch from base 1 to 137 matches the Rfam family "Eukaryotic small subunit ribosomal RNA", at positions 1759 to 1831 of the family's 1831-position model. The record is from RNAcentral. Lineage: Eukaryota; Fungi.
UCAAACUUGGUCAUUUAGAGGAAGUAAAAGUCGUAACAAGGUUUCCGUAGGUAAGUAGAAGUUUUCAACCUUACACUUUUAUGCUUGAAUAAUGUGCUGACUUUUUUCUUUUAGGUGAACCUGCGGAAGGAUCAUUACAGAGUGUUUAUCCCCCCAUAAAAAGGGGGUGUAACCUCCCGUCCUUUGCUUGGUCCCCCUUCUGGGAGGACUUUAAAACCUUCUGCUUCGGCGGGGUUACCCGCCGGAACAUCCUCAAAAUUCUUUGGUCAAAACCUUUCUGUCCGAGAAACUUGAGAAAUUAUUGAAAACUUUCAACAACGGAUCUCUUGGUUCUGGCAUCGAUGAAGAACGCAGC